This is a long non-coding RNA of Catharus ustulatus (Swainson's thrush), 5788 nucleotides long. RefSeq lists it as uncharacterized. Lineage: Eukaryota; Metazoa; Chordata; Aves; Passeriformes; Turdidae. The record is from RefSeq and is a predicted model, not a curated record. The transcript is spliced from 9 exons.
CUGUCAGACAGGGAGGGAAGGAGGAAGGGAGGGACGAAAGGAGCUGCCGUAGCUCCGCCACACGCCGGGAUCCUUCGGGAAGUGCGGGGCGAGCUGGGCUGGAGCGCGGCUCCAGGCUCCUCACCACGGCCCCGGGCGCCCCAGCCGGCGGGACGCGGGGAGGAAAAAAAGGGGAGCCGGCGCUGGCGUUAUUGCUCUUUCCUCUCCUUAAGGAGGUCAAACGCGAUCGUUCAGAGCUAUUGAUUGCUCCUCGGGCUUGUAGUGAUUUGUUAAAAGGCUAAUGGAAUGAGUCAUCGACAGAGUGGAUUAUUUAAAGCACCAUGAGGAGAAUUAAGCUGUGAACUGGAAUUCCAGCAGGCUGUCUACUCUGAAGCCCCGUGGCUUUAGAAAAGGGGCAGUAGUGGUCAGAAAUGACACUCAAAAGCAAAUAACAUGGAAUUAAUAGAAUUCCAGUACCUGUGAAAGAGAGAAGAUGCUUUCACUACACACAACCAUCUAAGAAACUGGUAGCAGAGGAUGGGAAGUGCCAUCACACAUAUUUUGGAGCCUACAUCUGCAUCAGCACAAGCAUGCAGGUUCAGAGGGAGGUGCACAUUUUCAUUCUGGAUUGCUGGCUCUGCUCUCUUGGUGCAAGUCUGUCCUCAAAACACUGGAGAUUAACAUCUGCAGAGACUUUCCCCCUGCACGGGAGAGCCCAGCUUUCUGAACCAUGUCACCCACCGGUGGAUCUUAGUUUGACUGUGAAGAUGGACACUAGGAAGCUGUGGGAAUGCAGUGCCCAGUUAAGGUGUUUACUAGUGAGCCAAGGAAACUGGUAUUACCUGUUGGACUCCAGUGCAGCACCGGGGAGCUUCUCCUGUAUCUGAUGUUACCUCAAGGGAAGAGUCAUUUGUCUCUGUUUCCAUCUCAGAUGUCUUCUCACCCUUCCCUGGAGAUGACACAUUGAAUUAAACCAUUUUUCUGGUGAUUAGAAUCCAACCUAAAGUCCACUGGAUUCAGAUGUGACCUGGAUUUCUUGGCUGAGGCCACAAACUGCUUUAGGCUCCUGAUUUUUUCUGCUCCUCAGGGUCUGCUUACCAUGCAUUUCCACGGGGGAUAGAGAUUGAACAUUUUUGACAAUGAUGUCACUAAUCUUGCAUAUUUUUAGUAUAAAUUUUCUUUGACGAGCCUCCCCCCUCUGCCAGCUUUCUGGUAUUUAUCACUUGUGUUAUGGUUUCUAGGUAGUGGUGUACAUAGCACAAUGAAUUCUUCUGAUAUUCCUCUUGAGAGGCAAGCAGCAAGAUUUGUUACCUACCUGGUGGUAGAAUGGAUGAACACCAUGUGCCACAGGAUACACAUUUUAACUGGAAAAAUUAAGAUUUGAAUUUACAAGUAAUUUUUCAGUUCAACCUUUACCAGAUGUGAUGUUGUGGCACAUGCCAAAUUCCUUGAAAAGCAAGGAAAACAACCCCUGAAGUUUAAUACCAGUUACAGAAAGGAGUGUCUUCAAAGAUCUGAAUGUUUGGAUUUUUAAAAAAGUACUGCUUAUAUUUUUUAGGGCACAACUUGUGGGUGCUGUUCAAAAGGCUGUAGGUUUUAAUGCCCAAUUGAAUAUAGUGACUAAUUUUCACAGCACAAACUACACUAUCAAUUUUCUGCUGCUAUUCUAAAUAAAAGGUAUUUUCCUUGCACACCAACUAUAAAAUUUCAGUCACUUAAAUUAUACACAUUGAUCUGUCUGUGGUGGAAAUUACAAAUUAGGCUUUAUUUUUCUGGGAAGGUGCUAUGCAUCUGUUCUAACCUCUUGACAAAUUACCACACAAUCCAGUGUCUGCUAACAAGGUAUUCAUAGACUAUAAAACUGAAAAUAUAACCCUUUUAGCCUAAAAUGCUUCAGACCUAUCAACCCUUAGAAACUAGUUCUGGAAAACAGUUCUGCUAUGCAACUCAAAGGUCAGCAAGAUGGAGGAAGAGGCCGCAGUGAUUUUUGAGGGCAGUAAAAGAAGAGAGACCUUUAAGUAAAUAAUAACAAAUGAAGAACACUAGUUGACCCAAUCUGCAGAAAAGGGAUGAAGAACGAAGAAGGAAGGCUGUGUUAUUUGGGCUGAUGGCCGAAAAAUUCAUUUUUACUUGUACCUGGAAAUAUUUAGGCAGCUGUUGCACAAUUUGAGAACUUUGAGAGUAGGCUGCAAGCAAGCAGACUCUGAAGAGACCACAUGAGAAAGAAACUGCUUUGUCAUCCAAGUUUCCAGAUAUUCUUCAGCCCGAGGUACAAUGCAUUUCAGUAAUUCAACUUAAAGGACCCAUGAAUAAUUUUAUAAUGUCUCCUAUGUGAAUUCAAAACAUUGCAGAACCCAUGGGUGACCACUCUUGCUAACAUGGCUUUUGGUAAGAUUCCUCAGUGUAGGAGGAAUGGGAAUUUCCUUUCUCUAACUCUCAUCAGUUGCUUCUACCAAGGCAGCUUGCUGGAAACCUCUUAUUUAAGUCUCAGGCUGAAGCACAGCAAGGGGAAGAGCACCAUCUGCGGCACUCCUCCUCCCAAAAGACAAGCUGGACACAUACAGUUUGACCACUUAAACACCAGCUAGAACUAGUGGGAAUCCAGACUGCCCUGCCCAGCCCAGCUCAGAUUUUAAGGACAGGAGGAUGUGAUCAACAAACUGUGAUUCUCCAUGCUGGGAGUGUGUUGAGGCUGAAGUGCAUUGACAAGAGCUGGCAACACAAGAAGCAGUAAAUAUUUGUGCUUUGUCACUUGAGUCAGCACAUAUAAUUCUUCACAUACGUAAGAACGAGCUCUGCUGCAGAAGAAAAUACCAUUUUUACAAUAACUUUUCAGAGUGGAACUGUGCCUUAAAUCAAACAAGCAAGCACUGAGUCAGCUCAGUGGCAGAGCAACAACAAUUUGAUCUGCUACGUGGCAAGCUUUGGUUUGGAGAUACUAAACAAUUCUUCAUCCUGGGCCUCAGGCUUGUAAAUAUGAUAGAAGAUGAUGCAAUGCGUUCAGACUCUGGGGAGAAAAGGAACAGUCAUACCACUCUUGAGAAACCUUUUGUGAAGAAAAAUUUAUUGUGUGCCCCCAGGUGCAAAGGCUAUGGAUGAAAUGCAACUCAAUAAAGACAAGUCAAGGUGUUUCAAGAGAGCUAAUGAACAUUUCAGUAUUUGCACUUAGUCAGAUAAAGCACUUUUCCAGCUGAGUAAGGAGACAGCAAUCAUGUGAGUAUGAUUUCUGUGUGAUAACAAAUGCUCCCAGAGGUUGUUUUUUAAGUCCAUGGGGUUUUUUUGUCUGGUACAAAGGUGAUCUUAUUAAUGAAAGCUAAUCAGCUCUCCACCUUUAUGCUUCCCUUUACUUUUAAAAAUUUCCUUUAUGAGAAGAGUGUAAUUCUUUAAUGAGGGUCACCCGUCUUUUAAGCAGAGUAGUAGCUUAGUAUUUUCUACAUAUACAGAGCAGUCUUGGAUACCCUUUACUUCUCAUUCUAUAAAUGGUAAGAAAGUCCAUUGACAGGUAGUUUAUAAUUUAUGUGUGCUGUUUGAUUUUCUUGUCCAAGUGCAGCUGAUGGGACAUAUAAAAGAAAUCCUUAACAUCUUAUUGCCAGACAGAAUAUCAACAUGAGCACUAGGAAUUCAUAACACCUGUGGAAAGAAGUGCUGUACAUAUGCCAUGAGAUAUAAGAGAAUAUAUUCAAGGAAUGCCCAUCACAGCACCCAGUCAAGCUUCUGCAAGGAUUUUUCAUAAACCAUGCUGGCUUGAUAAUGAAUUCUGAUAGAGAACAUGAUGUUAAUUCAUCUAUUCCUCUCUUACUCCUGGAUUUAAAAAAAAAAAAAAAUUUUAGCCUCUGAGUACUUCUGUGAUCUGAUUUCUUACACCCUGCAGGGGACAGCAUUGGGUAAAGAAAAGUUGUAAUCAUAUGAUAAAGAAGCAUUUGCUUCCAAUUAUCAAAUUAUAUUUUGUUAAUUAAGAUACAAAAAAAAUUUUUUUUGGCAGGUUGGCACAAAUCCUCUCUAUCUUUUCUCCCUUUAGCUCUUCUGAAUUUUUUAAUCAAAAUUAUUUUGGUUACACAGUUUAUUUUGCUAUCACUAGUGAGAAAGGUUCCCAACAAUGUGUAGUUACACCACCAUUACUAAUGAAGAAGAAAUGCUGCAUAGCAUUGCUAUAACUCAGAGCUUUCUUCUCAUGGCAGGCUCUGUAACACAGUUUUUCAGCAGCUAUGCUGAAUCCCCUCUAUGUUGUCAACAUAGGUAUCAGUUUGCAAGGAAAAAAAAUUGCUUUUAUGCUAUCAUCUUUCAUUAAAAUAUAAAUAUAUAUGUGUAGGGACAUGGAGGCACACACACUCAACAUAUUUUUGCCUGUAAAAGUGCAUGUAAAUGCAAGACAAAGUGUUUGUUUGUAUUUCCCUCAGCCAUUGCUGAAAAAAAAUAAAGGUGUUUUCUCUCCCACAAAUAAGCCUGUAUUUAAAAAUGAUCUUGGAAGAGGUGUAUGGUAGCCUUGUUUAUUUUGGGCAGAUGCAAAGAAGUAUCUCUGAACUUCUGCCAGUGAUCAAAGGAACUGAUGAUGUAGAACAGAUUCAUGGGCCAUGUCCUAUCAGCCUGCACUUUACCCGUCAUCCAUCAUCCAAACCCUAAGCCUUUUUCUGAGUGAUGAUUGCACCCUAAACACAUAAAAUUAAUCACCACUCUAUCCUGGCCAGGUGUCUUGCCUCCAGAAAUUAUCUCAUUGCAGCAAAAGAACUGCUAGAAUCUGAUAUCUGUACUGUAAUUUAAUUUGAAGAAUAGUGCACAGUAACACUAAGAUUGAUUUACAUAUCUGAGAAGUUUCUAGUUUCACAAAGCCAAUAUAAAUUCUUGGAGAAAUAUGUAAUUGGAAAAAAAAAAAUUGGUUGAUCAUAAAAUCAGGGCAUCUGAAUAUUUAUUAACUUCUGGAAUUUUCAGUUGAUGCUUUCUACUAUAAUCGUAACUUAACAGUGGGUUUAAAAUGCAGCUUGCAAAACUAGAAAGGCCAGAUAUUUGAAUCAGUAUAAAUUCAGUGUUGGACUCAUGUAUAAGCAAAACCCUAUCUCCAGGAGACUGGACUUUACAUAAAUAGCAUCUACUUUGCCUUUCAGAGAGCUUCUUUAUGUAAAGCAUUUCUCUUCAUGUAUUUCUUUUUUCCCCUCCUUGGAAAACAGAAGAGAAAUGAACCAGCAGAAAAUUAAACUAUUUUAUACAUCUCUAUUUUUGAAAAGACAGUGGAGAAAUUGUGGGUAAUGAAUAGGUCAAAUAUAUGUCUUUUUGUGAAAUGCAGAAUUAAAGAUACGUAGGCCCUGAUGUACUUCAGCUGUUCUUCCACACACAAACUCACCUUUUCCCCCACAGAAUACACACAGCAAGCCUGUAUUUUACAAUUAUAAGUACAAAUGGGAAAAUAAUCUCCACCUAAUGAUAAGUGGCAAUAACAGGCUACUUUCAAUAUGCAUAUGAACAAGAAGAGAGGAGCUGCUUCUUCACUAUAAAUAUAUGGCCUAACUACCAGGAAAAUUCUGCUAGUGUUCUGCUUCACUUCUGGAUUAACUGCAAAUCCUAAUAAUUUGCUUUUAAUUGAGAGCUUAGCUCCUAUAUUAAAUUAACAUAGGAAAGCAAAUGUGCCCCAAAGAUGUAUUAUUAAAAUAAAAAAAUAACACAACAUUCUGGUUUAAAAAAACCCUUACUUGCUGUGAAACCAAUAGGAAGAAAGCAUCUGAAAAAGAAAGCUUCAUAAACAGGAAGAAUAUUUAAAUGGGCCAUUAAACUGCCUUAAUUCAAACAACAAUAUUACUGUAGAUUUAUCUAUGAUGAU